RNAcentral lists this ribosomal RNA (490 nucleotides) under uncultured bacterium. Its description in RNAcentral is "partial 16S ribosomal RNA". It matches the Rfam family "Bacterial small subunit ribosomal RNA", at positions 30 to 507 of the family's 1533-position model. The record is from RNAcentral.
AUUGAACGCUGGCGGCAGGCCUAACACAUGCAGGUCGAACGGUAACAGGAAGCAGCUUGCUGCUUCGCUGACGAGUGGCGGACGGGUGAGUAAUGUCUGGGAAGCUGCCUGAUGGAGGGGGAUAACUACUGGAAACGGUAGCUAAUACCGCAUAAUGUCGCAAGACCAAAGAGGGGGACCUUCGGGCCUCUUGCCAUCGGAUGUGCCCAGAUGGGAUUAGCUUGUUGGUGGGGUAACGGCUCACCAAGGCGACGAUCCCUAGCUGGUCUGAGAGGAUGACCAGCCACACUGGAACUGAGACACGGUCCAGACUCCUACGGGAGGCAGCAGUGGGGAAUAUUGCACAAAGGGCGCAAGCCUGAUGCAGCCAUGCCGCGUGUAUGAAGAAGGCCUUCGGGUUGUAAAGUACUUUCAGCGGGGAGGAAGGGAGUAAAGUUAAUACCUUUGCUCAUUGACGUUACCCGCAGAAGAAGCACCGGCUAACUCCGUG